GCUAAGGUGGCAGAGCCUGGUAAUUGCAAAAGGCCUAAGCCCUUUCCCUCGGAGGUUCAAAUCCUCUCCUUCAGCU
RNAcentral lists this transfer RNA (76 nucleotides) under Gymnothorax nudivomer (starry moray). RNAcentral describes it as "tRNA-Leu". It matches the Rfam family "tRNA". Rfam says of the family: Transfer RNA (tRNA) molecules are approximately 80 nucleotides in length. Their secondary structure includes four short double-helical elements and three loops (D, anti-codon, and T loops). The record is from RNAcentral. Lineage: Eukaryota; Metazoa; Chordata; Actinopteri; Anguilliformes; Muraenidae.